UGCGUACCUUUUGUAUAAUGGGUCAGCGACUUAUAUUCAGUGGCAAGCUUAACCGUAUAGGGUAGGCGUAGCGAAAGCGAGUCUUAAUAGGGCGUUUAGUCGCUGGGUAUAGACCCGAAACCGGGCGAUCUAUCCAUGAGCAGGUUGAAGGUUAGGUAACACUGACUGGAGGACCGAACCCACUCCCGUUGAAAAGGUAGGGGAUGACUUGUGGAUCGGAGUGAAAGGCUAAUCAAGCUCGGAGAUAGCUGGUUCUCCUCGAAAGCUAUUUAGGUAGCGCCUCAUGUAUCACUCUGGGGGGUAGAGCACUGUUUCGGCUAGGGGGUCAUCCCGACUUACCAAACCGAUGCAAACUCCGAAUACCCAGAAGUGCCGAGCAUGGGAGACACACGGCGGGUGCUAACGUCCGUCGUGAAAAGGGAAACAACCCAGACCGCCAGCUAAGGUCCCAAAGUUGUGGUUAAGUGGUAAACGAUGUGGGAAGGCUUAGACAGCUAGGAGGUUGGCUUAGAAGCAGCCACCCUUUAAAGAAAGCGUAAUAGCUCACUAGUCGAGUCGGCCUGCGCGGAAGAUGUAACGGGGCUCAAACCACACACCGAAGCUGCGGGUGUCACGCAAGUGACGCGGUAGAGGAGCGUUCUGUAAGCCUGUGAAGGUGAGUUGAGAAGCUUGCUGGAGGUAUCAGAAGUGCGAAUGCUGACAUGAGUAACGACAAUGGGUGUGAAAAACACCCACGCCGAAAGACCAAGGGUUCCUGCGCAACGUUAAUCGACGCAGGGUUAGUCGGUUCCUAAGGCGAGGCUGAAAAGCGUAGUCGAUGGGAAACAGGUUAAUAUUCCUGUACUUCUGGUUACUGCGAUGGAGGGACGGAGAAGGCUAGGCCAGCUUGGCGUUGGUUGUCCAAGUUUAAGGUGGUAGGCUGAAAUCUUAGGUAAAUCCGGGGUUUCAAGGCCGAGAGCUGAUGACGAGUCGUCUUUUAGAUGACGAAGUGGUUGAUGCCAUGCUUCCAAGAAAAGCUUCUAAGCUUCAGGUAACCAGGAACCGUACCCCAAACCGACACAGGUGGUCGGGUAGAGAAUACCAAGGCGCUUGAGAGAACUCGGGUGAAGGAACUAGGCAAAAUGGCACCGUAACUUCGGGAGAAGGUGCGCCGGCUAGGGUGAAGGAUUUACUCCGUAAGCUCUGGCUGGUCGAAGAUACCAGGCCGCUGCGACUGUUUAUUAAAAACACAGCACUCUGCAAACACGAAAGUGGACGUAUAGGGUGUGACGCCUGCCCGGUGCCGGAAGGUUAAUUGAUGGGGUUAGCGCAAGCGAAGCUCUUGAUCGAAGCCCCGGUAAACGGCGGCCGUAACUAUAACGGUCCUAAGGUAGCGAAAUUCCUUGUCGGGUAAGUUCCGACCUGCACGAAUGGCGUAACGAUGGCGGCGCUGUCUCCACCCGAGACUCAGUGAAAUUGAAAUCGCUGUGAAGAUGCAGUGUAUCCGCGGCUAGACGGAAAGACCCCGUGAACCUUUACUGUAGCUUUGCACUGGACUUUGAGCCUGCUUGUGUAGGAUAGGUGGGAGGCUUUGAAGCGUGGACGCCAGUUCGCGUGGAGCCAUCCUUGAAAUACCACCCUGGCAUGCUUGAGGUUCUAACUCUGGUCCGUAAUCCGGAUCGAGGACAGUGUAUGGUGGGCAGUUUGACUGGGGCGGUCUCCUCCUAAAGAGUAACGGAGGAU
Molecule: ribosomal RNA, 1722 nt
Filed under: Pseudomonas aeruginosa
Lineage: Bacteria; Pseudomonadati; Pseudomonadota; Gammaproteobacteria; Pseudomonadales; Pseudomonadaceae
Description: bacterial LSU rRNA
Rfam family: Bacterial large subunit ribosomal RNA
Source: RNAcentral